AAAAUUAUGAAUGUAGAAAGCAUAUGUUUGGGUUUUCAUGCUCACGUGUGAAAUGGACCGCCCUCAAACCUGGUUAUGCUGUCGGCACAUUACCUAUCUGAUG
Small nucleolar RNA from Macaca fascicularis (crab-eating macaque), 103 nucleotides. Lineage: Eukaryota; Metazoa; Chordata; Mammalia; Primates; Cercopithecidae. The record is from Ensembl.